GACGAACGCUGGCGGCGUGCUUAAUACAUGCAAGUCGAGCGGAGCGGCCACGGGCUUGCGCUUGGGCGGUGUGCGGCGGACGGGUGUGUAACAUGUGGAUAACCUGCUCGUAACUGGGGGAUGACCCCGGGAAUCGGGAGAUUACACCGUGCAACAUGGAAGAGCGCGGGGGCGUUUGGUGAGAGGCUGCUUGUGCUGCCUGUGAUGACUGGGUACGCGGCGCAUGGGCUAGUUGGUGAUGUAACGGCCCACCAAGGCGACGAUGCGUGGCCGGCCUGAGAGGGUGACCGGCCACACUGGGACUGGGACACGGCCCAGACUCCUACGGGAGGCAGCAGUCGGGAAUCUUCCGCAAUGGACGAGAGUCUGACGGAGCGAGGCCGCGUGAGCGAAGAAGGUCUUCGGAUCGUAAAGCUCUGUUGUUGGGGAAGAAGAAGCGUCGUUCGAACAGGGCGGCGCGGUGACGGUACCUAACGAGAAAGCCCCGGCUAACUACGUG
This 499-nucleotide ribosomal RNA is filed under the name uncultured bacterium. RNAcentral describes it as "partial 16S ribosomal RNA". It matches the Rfam family "Bacterial small subunit ribosomal RNA", at positions 28 to 507 of the family's 1533-position model. The record is from RNAcentral.